UCGAGGAUCUUCCGCAAUGGGCGAAAGCCUGACGGAGCGACACCGCGUGCAGGAUGAAGGCCUUCGGGUCGUAAACUGCUGUCAAACUAUAGGAAACGCGAGGCGUUAACAGCGCUUCGCCUGACUAAGGUGAGAGGAAGCACCGGCUAACCCUGUGCCAGCAGCCGCGGUAAUACAGGGGGUGCAAACGUUGCUCGGAAUCACUGGGCAUAAAGCGCACGUAGGCCGCUAGCUAAGUCAGGUGUGAAAGCCCCCGGCUCAACCGGGGAACAGCACCUGAUACUGGCUAGCUCGAGAAUGGUAGGGGUGAGUGGAACUCCAGGUGGAGCGGUGAAAUGCGUAGAUAUCUGGAGGAACACCGGUGGCGAAAGCGGCUCACUGGACCAUUUCUGACGCUGAGGUGCGAAAGCUAGGGGAGCAAACGGGAUUAGAUACCCCCGUAGUCCCUGAGCGGGCUGGCAAGGCGCAU
Molecule: ribosomal RNA, 469 nt
Filed under: uncultured bacterium
Lineage: Bacteria
Description: bacterial SSU rRNA
Rfam family: Bacterial small subunit ribosomal RNA
Source: RNAcentral